RNAcentral lists this long non-coding RNA (88 nucleotides) under dengue virus type 3. RNAcentral's name for it is "Dengue virus type 3 partial sfRNA4". The stretch from base 2 to 74 matches the Rfam family "Flavivirus DB element". Rfam says of the family: These DB elements are thought to be required for efficient translation. The record is from RNAcentral. Lineage: Riboviria; Orthornavirae; Kitrinoviricota; Flasuviricetes; Amarillovirales; Flaviviridae.
GCGGGGCCCGAGCACUGAGGGAAGCUGUACCUCCUUGCAAAGGACUAGAGGUUAGAGGAGACCCCCCGCAAACAAAAACAGCAUAUUG